AAAAGUAAUUAAGAGCGUAAGGUGGAUGCCUAGGCUCUCAGAGGCGAAGAAGGACGUGACAAGCUGCGAUAAGCUGCGGGGAGGUGCAAAUAACCAUUAUAUCCGCAGAUUUCCGAAUGGGGGAACCCAGCUGGUUGAAGACCAGUUAUCCGAAAGGAGGCAAACCCGGCGAACUGAAACAUCUAAGUAACCGGAGGAAGAGAAAACAACAGUGAUUCCCUAAGUAGUGGCGAUCGAACGGGGAACAGCCCAAACCGGUGUCGUUUCGGCGACAUCGGGGUAGUAGGACUACGACAUGGAUUAUAGAUUUGAAGUGGAACCAUCUGGAAAGGUGGGCCAUAGAGAGUGAUAGUCUCGUACACGUAAGGAUUUACGAUCCUAGUAGUAUCCUGAGUAGCGCGGAACACGAGAAAUUUUGCGUGAAUUUGCCAGGACCAUCUGGUAAGGCUAAAUACUCCUGAGAGACCGAUAGUGAACUAGUACCGUGAGGGAAAGGUGAAAAGCACCUCGAACAGAGGAGUGAAAUAGUACCUGAAACCAUACGCUUACAAACGGUCGGAGCCCAUUUAGGUGGGUGACGGCGUGCCUUUUGCAUAAUGAGCCUACGAGUUACUCCUCACUAGCAAGGUUAAGUUCUUUAGGGACGAAGCCGAAGCGAAAGCAAGUCUGAACAGGGCGUCUAGUUAGUGGGGGUAGACGCGAAACCUGAUGAUCUAUCCAUGGCCAGGUUGAAGCUGUGGUAACACACAGUGGAGGACCGAACCAGUUGACGUUGAAAAGUCUUUGGAUGAGCUGUGGAUAGGGGUGAAAGGCCAAUCAAAUUGGGAAAUAGCUCGUACUCCCCGAAAUGCAUUUAGGUGCAGCCUCGAGUAUAGAGUGUCAUAGAGGUAGAGCUACUGAUAAGGCUAGAGGGCUUCACCGCCUAUCAACCCUUGAUAAACUCCGAAUGCUAUGACAUGUUCCUCGGGAGUGAGGCCAUGGGUGCUAAGGUCCGUGGCCAAAAGGGAAAGAACCCAGACCAUCAGCUAAGGUCCCCAAAUGUAUGCUAAGUUGAACUAACGUAGUGCGAUUGCUCUGACAGCUAGGAUGUUGGCUUGGAAGCAGCCAUUCAUUUAAAGAGUGCGUAACAGCUCACUAGUCGAGCGAUUGUGCGUGGAUGAUAAUCGGGCAUAAAGCAUACUACCGAAGCUAUGGACUCGCAAGAGUGGUAGGGGAGCAUUCCAGUCGGCGUAGAAGGUGAAUCGUGAGGUUUGCUGGAGCGUCUGGAAAAGCAAAUGUAGGCAUAAGUAACGAUAAAGCAGGUGAGAAACCUGCUCGCCGCAAGACUAAGGUUUCCGGAUCAACGCUAAUCGGAUCCGGGUUAGUCGGGACCUAAGGCGAAACCGAAAGGUGUAGUCGAUGGACCAUUGGUUAAUAUUCCAAUACUACCUUAUACUGCGAUGGGAUGACGAAGAAGUGAAAGGUCCGCGUGCUGACGGAAUAGCACGUUAAAGGAUGUAGGUAUAUCCGGGUGUUAAUAGCAUUUGGGUGCUGAAUCUGAUAGUACCGUGAGCCUUCGGGCAAGCGGAUAGUGACCCUAAUCAGACUUCCAAGAAAACCCCCUAAGCAUCAGGUAUAAGGUACCCGUACCGUAAACCGACACAGGUAGUCGAGGAGAGUAUCCUAAGGCGCUCGAGUGAUUCAUGGUUAAGGAACUAGGCAAAAUGACCCCGUAACUUCGGGAGAAGGGGUGCCAGCGCGAGCUGGCCGCAGAGAAAUAGCCCAAGCGACUGUUUAUCAAAAACACAAGGCUUUGCGAAAUCGAAAGAUGAGGUAUAAGGCCUGACACCUGCCCGGUGCCGGAAGGUUAAGAGGGGGGGUUAUCCUUCGGGAGAAGCUCUGAAUCGAAGCCCCGGUAAACGGCGGCCGUAACUAUAACGGUCCUAAGGUAGCGAAAUUCCUUGUCGGGUAAGUUCCGACCUGCACGAAUGGUGUAACGAUUUGGCUUUACUACAGCUUAACAUUGAUUUUGGGUAUGUGAUGUGUAGGAUAGCUGGGAGACUAUGAAGUGGCUUCGCCAGGAGUCGUGGAGUCAACCUUGAAAUACCAGCCUUCACAUAUUUGGAGUCUAAUCCCUAUAGGGAGACAGUGUUUGGUGGGUAGUUUGACUGGGGUGGUCGCCUCCAAAAGCGUAACGGAGGCUUCUAAAGGUGCCCUCAGCAUGAUUGGUAACCAUGCGAAGAGUAUAAUGGCAUAAGGGCGCUUGACUGUGAGACUGACAAGUCGAGCAGGUACGAAAGUAGAGCAUAGUGAUCCGGUGGUUCCGUAUGGAAGGGCCAUCGCUCAAAGGAUAAAAGGUACUCCGGGGAUAACAGGCUGAUCGCUCC
Molecule: ribosomal RNA, 2366 nt
Filed under: oral metagenome
Description: bacterial LSU rRNA
Rfam family: Bacterial large subunit ribosomal RNA
Source: RNAcentral